GCUAGUAGGACUUUCGGGGACCAUAUAAUACAAUGAGUAAUCAAUGAACAUGAGGACUGGAAAUGGAAAUUCAGAAGUACGAACUGUCUUUUUGCAACAAUAAUAGAAGGAAGAUGCCAAUGGCUGACAAUAAUAGAAGGAAGAUGCCAAUAUCAGCUAUGCAAGGCGAGAACAAAUUUUCUGCCCCAUUGGGAUUACCUUUUCCGCCUUCUUAUCAUUAUAAUAUUUCUCCUACCAACUUCUAAUGCGUCUUUUUUUGUCGGUUGGAAAUAAGAAUUCAUUCCUGACGGAUGCUUUAAAAGCUCAUUAGAAAAAAUACAUAUAAUAAGGUAGCUGACGCUUAUAUACCACUUCAAACUUCUUUUUUUUGGCCGUUCAUCAGGAGCUGUUAUUUGGGACUCGCGUCUAACACGGAGGAGAUCUAUAGGGACCCCGGAGGACUUUCGGGGUGUAUACUCGACGCACGGCGCCUCCUAGAAGACAUUGAAAUCUGUAUUUCCACGUCUCUCACUCACCAAACACUGUGUCCUCUCUCCCUUUUGGAUCUAGUUAAGCACAACUACUAGAAAAAUACACCAGUGGCAACAGGAAAAGCAGUGGAGGAUCUCCAGCCAAUGGCCGAAGCUUAGCCAUAACAAUUCGUUUGCUAAAUCUCCAUGGAUAGGCCGAAAUAAGAGGAAAAUCCUUCUUAUGUUUGCUAAUCAUGUGGCGUUGUUUAUCUUGUGAAUGAUAAAGAAUAGUAUUGAUUAUAACAAUAUGACAUUGUAGCAUCAUCUAGGAGCAAGAGAAUAGGUUGUUGUUGUAGAAACACCAUUGAUGAGAGUUGUGGACUUCAUGCCCAACAAGUUUUUGAUAAAAUGUUUCAGUAUAUUUCAGUGUAUUUAUGUGUAUCGACAAACAAUAUAUCUAAUUUUUUAGUAUAUUUCAGAGUAUAAUUUCGUUGUA
This is a long non-coding RNA of Lycium barbarum (goji berry), 945 nucleotides long. RefSeq lists it as uncharacterized. Lineage: Eukaryota; Viridiplantae; Streptophyta; Magnoliopsida; Solanales; Solanaceae. The record is from RefSeq and is a predicted model, not a curated record. The transcript is spliced from 2 exons.